CAGUAAAUUAAUUAUUAUUUUAAUAAAAUAUAUUACAUAAGUAUCUAAUAAAAUUAAAUAAUUCAGUUACCAUAGGGAUACAGCGUAAUAAUUUUCUAAAGAUCUUAUUUAAAAUAUAGAUUCCGACCUCGAUGUUGAAUUAAUAACCUAAUUAAGGCAUUACUUAAGAAAGUAAGUCUGUUCGACUUUUAAAACAUUACAUGAUGUGAGUUCAGACCGGUGUAAGCCAGGUCGGUAUCUAUCUUCUAAAAAAUUUYWKACAGUACGAAAGGACCUAAAW
RNAcentral lists this ribosomal RNA (280 nucleotides) under Habronattus pugillus. RNAcentral describes it as "partial 16S ribosomal RNA". The stretch from base 80 to 233 matches the Rfam family "Bacterial large subunit ribosomal RNA", at positions 2477 to 2632 of the family's 2925-position model. The record is from RNAcentral. Lineage: Eukaryota; Metazoa; Arthropoda; Arachnida; Araneae; Salticidae.